GAAACCAACAGGGAUUGCCUUAGUAACGGCGAGUGAAGCGGCAAAAGCUCAAAUUUGAAAUCUGGCACCUUCGGUGUCCGAGUUGUAAUUUGAAGAAGGUAACUUUGGAGUUGGCUCUUGUCUAUGUUCCUUGGAACAGGACGUCACAGAGGGUGAGAAUCCCGUGCGAUGAGAUGCCCAAUUCUAUGUAAAGUGCUUUCGAAGAGUCGAGUUGUUUGGGAAUGCAGCUCUAAGUGGGUGGUAAAUUCCAUCUAAAGCUAAAUAUUGGCGAGAGACCGAUAGCGAACAAGUACAGUGAUGGAAAGAUGAAAAGAACUUUGAAAAGAGAGUGAAAAAGUACGUGAAAUUGUUGAAAGGGAAGGGCUUGAGAUCAGACUUGGUAUUUUGCGAUCCUUUCCUUCUUGGUUGGGUUCCUCGCAGCUUACUGGGCCAGCAUCGGUUUGGAUGGUAGGAUAAUGACUAAGGAAUGUGGCUCUACUUCGGUGGAGUGUUAUAGCCUUGGUUGAUACUGCCUGUCUAGACCGAGGACUGCGUCUU
RNAcentral lists this ribosomal RNA (537 nucleotides) under Debaryomyces hansenii. Its description in RNAcentral is "eukaryotic LSU rRNA". It matches the Rfam family "Eukaryotic large subunit ribosomal RNA", at positions 61 to 603 of the family's 3401-position model. The record is from RNAcentral. Lineage: Eukaryota; Fungi; Ascomycota; Pichiomycetes; Serinales; Debaryomycetaceae.